This 492-nucleotide ribosomal RNA is filed under the name Centipeda noxia. Its description in RNAcentral is "bacterial SSU rRNA". It matches the Rfam family "Bacterial small subunit ribosomal RNA", at positions 9 to 474 of the family's 1533-position model. The record is from RNAcentral. Lineage: Bacteria; Bacillati; Bacillota; Negativicutes; Selenomonadales; Selenomonadaceae.
GAGUUUGAUUAUGGCUCAGGACGAACGCUGGCGGCGUGCUUAACACAUGCAAGUCGAACGGAGCGAAUGAAAGCUUGCUUUUAUAAGCUUAGUGGCAAACGGGUGAGUAACACGUAGACAACCUGCCGACAGGAUGGGGACAACAUUCCGAAAGGAAUGCUAAUACCGAAUGAAGUGCAGGGGAGGCAUCUCCCCUGCAUGAAAGAUGGCCUCUUUUUAUGCUAUCACCUGUUGAUGGGUCUGCGUCUGAUUAGCUGGUAGGUGAGGUAACGGCUCACCUAGGCGACGAUCAGUAGCCGGUCUGAGAGGAUGAACGGCCACAUUGGGACUGAGACACGGCCCAGACUCCUACGGGAGGCAGCAGUGGGGAAUCUUCCGCAAUGGGCGCAAGCCUGACGGAGCAACGCCGCGUGAGUGAAGAAGGUCUUCGGAUCGUAAAGCUCUGUUGAUGGGGACGAACGUGCCUAAUGCGAAUAGUUUUAGGCAAUGACG